Long non-coding RNA from Loxodonta africana (African savanna elephant), 23490 nucleotides. RefSeq lists it as uncharacterized. NCBI's taxonomy places the organism in Eukaryota, Metazoa, Chordata, Mammalia, Proboscidea, Elephantidae. The transcript has 3 exons. The record is from RefSeq and is a predicted model, not a curated record.
ACCUGGAGCCCCGCGCGCCGGGGACCGUGGCGCUGCCUCCGAGGGGCCUGGCCCGGCUCUCGGCGUCCACCGGGAGCGCGCCGGGAUAAACGUGACACUGGAACUGGACAAUGACAGCGCUCUACGCGAUGACCUUAGAAGGAGUGGCGGUCAGGCCUGUAACCUUCUACCCCCACUCCCACCUCCCCGACAGGUUUUACUCACGGUGAGGGGGAACUAAUGGUUUACCGUGCUCUAAAACCAUGAGAAUUUUCCUGGAAUGUUUCCUAGAGCGCUUCAGAACCACCAGCAGCUCUGGAUAAAACUGAACAGGAAUGAUGAAGUGGCUACAGAUGACCUGGGAAUUGGCCAAGGAAUUGUGAUUCCAGGAUUUGGGGUCCUUGGUGGCUUGAUAUUGUCAGAAAGUUGGCAUUGUUUGAGUAGCCUCACUUUUAACAGUAGGCCCUGUUGAUUGCAAUUUUUUCUUCUUGGUAUUGUUUUCUUCUUAAGGAUUUUGCCUGCCGCAGCCCAUACUUGUUUCCAGGGUUCCAGCCUCAGUGGGGUUCUUCCUCACUGCGUACACUCUCCUCAGGGAAAUCUGGCCAUGCCCAGAGCUGAAUCUUCAAUUUAGUCCUCACCCAUGAGCCCCAGACACUUGGACAACUGCCCAGGCCCCCACUCCCCCCCACCUCAGAAAUCCACAGACAGCUCUAGGUGAGGCCAUAUGACUAGUUUCUGUCUAAUAGGAUGGAAAGAACAGUGGCAUAUCCUUACUCUCAUUCUUACUGAUGUCUAGAAUACAGAGGCAGUGGCUGGAGCUCAAGCAGCCAUUUUAGGCCAUGAGGUUGGUGAAGCAACAGAAUGGAAGAUGCUUGGUCCCUGAUGCUUAUGGAGCCAAUAGCUUGGAACUGCUUGCCUCCUGAGUUUGUUUCAGGGAGGGAAAAACAACUUUUAUCUUGUUUAGACCACUGUUAUUUUGCAAUUUCAUCAUAUGCAGCUAAACCAAAGCUAGCUUAAUAUUUAAGACCUUUCCUGCUCCAGUCCCCUCAAUACCAUAUGCUCCGUUGACUAUACUAAACUACAUGCAGCUCUCUCUGCUUCCAUUCCUUUGCACAGCAUUUACUGAAAGGUAUUAUAAGGAUCUACUCAGUUGUCUCCCUGACUGUCCUGUGAAUGAAUGUCUUUAGAGCAGGACUGUACCUUUCUUGGCGUUUCUGCCAUGUGAUCAGCUUCUUUAAGGCAAGAAAGGGAGACAUAGGGAACAGAUGUUUAUGGGCCCGAAUUAUACAUGCUUUCCUUUUUUUUUGACUUAUUCUCAUUCUGAAAGCCACUGUGAGGGGGGCAUUUUUAUUAAUCUUUUUUUUUUGUUGUUGUUGUUGUUGUUAGUUGCCAUUGAGCAACCCUUUCUGAAGCCGAUCACCAGGCCAGUCUUCUGAGACACCUCUGGGUAGGUUCAAAUCGCCAACCUUGUGGCUAGUAGUCAAGCACUUAGCCAUUGUGCCAUCCAAGGAAGUAGAGACUCACAAAGAUGAAGUCCUUUCCCAAAUGUGCAUGAAUAAUGAGUGGGGGAACGUAGUGUGGAACUCAAGUCUGUCUGGCUUGAAGCAAGAGCCCUUUCUACUGCACUUAGAAGCUUCCUUGUCAGUGCAAGGCCCAGGGCUGUGAGCUCUGAUGAAUGAAUUCCCUCUGUGGUGCUCCUUUGAGGUCCUCACUCUCAGCUGCUUUUCACAUGAUGGCUUGUGAGGAAUGAGUAAGCACCUCCCUGAACCUGACCUCAAUUCAGGAAGGGAUGGCCUCUGCUUCAGAGUUUGGUGUUCAGGGGAUUUUUUCUUUUCCUUCUUUCAACAUACUUUCGAAACCGACACUGCCCGGGAGGUGGUGUGGUGCCCUGGAACCCAUAAGAACUUCAGAACCAGAUGGGCUUGGGUCUAAAUUCCUGCUCUUCCACUCAUUUGCUGCAUGACCCAGGCAGUUACUUAGCCUGACUGGGCCUCAGUUUCCUCAUCUGAAAAGAUAUCGUGACAUCCCUCAGAGGAUCACACGGAGUAUUCGAAAGAAAUGACGGGAAUGCAGCUGACACUGAGCAAAUGUCCUCUACUUCUCUCCUUUAUUUGAGGUGGGGGUUUUGUUUCAUUUGACAUUGAAGUGACAGACUGUAUUACUGGUCACAAAUUUUCUGUAUUCCCCCCACUACAGGGGAUCACACCUUUCUGGACCGUUAAGCACAGUACUGGCCUUGUGACAUCUGCCCAAUGUCAGCCGAAGCACUGUGUGGCAGUUCUGGGUAGAAGCUUUAAGAUCCUGGGCCUGCUUCACCCAGUUCUCUUUUCUUCUGCCAGGGGACCAGAUAUGUUCCAGAUAGAGGCUGCUCCAUUAGACUGGGUCCAUAGCCAGUGCGUGAAAGACACGUAGUAUGAGCCUGAAACACACCUUCAUUGUGGUAAGUCACUGAGACAUGGAGUCAUUUGUUACUGCAGCCUCCCUUGAUCUGACUGAUACAGUUGAUAUUUAGCAUCUUACAUUUCUGUGUAAUAUUUUUAAACUUUUCCAAAAGGUUUAUUUGUUGCAUUUAUAUUUUUUGGUGAUGGGCACUUAAAAAAUAAGUUGUGUUUUUGCCAAGUAUUGAAUGCUUAGUGUUUGCUGAUCAUGGUCCAGGGUCUCUGUGAUGGUUAAGGUUAUGUGUCAACUUGGCUGUGCCAUGAUUCUCAGUGGUUAGGCAGUUAUGAUGUAGUUUGGCAGUUAUGAUUAGUUUGGCAGCUGUGUAAUGAUAGAAUCACCUCCCUAAUGAGGUCUGAUGUAAUAUAAUCACCUCCAUGAUGAGAUCCAUUAUGAGCAGCCAAUCAGUUGAAAGGGAAUUUCCUUGGAGGUGUGGCCUGCAUCCAAUAUAGGUGGACUUUCUGGCACAGCUUGCUGUCUUUAGCUCUCUCUCUGGAUCCUGCAGCUGGCUCCCGUUCACCUGACCUCCAGUUCUUGGACUCAAGCUAGCAGCUUACCUGCCAGUCUUGGGAUCUGUCAACCUCUGCAGCCUGUGAGCCAGAGGCCUCCUAUCUGACCUUCCAAUCUUGGAUUUACCAGCUCCUGCGGCUGUGUGAGCCUAGAGAAGCCUCCAGCCUGACCCAAUGGAUUUGGGACUUUGCAACCUCUACAACCUCGUCUUCGUCGAGUAUUCUUUUUGAUGAUUUUCUUAAGUGAAGAUUUGGCAGAAGUUUUUGAAGUUGGAAGUUUUGCUUAUGAAAGGUAGAACAGAAGAGCAGAUGAACGCUGGUGAUAUUGCACCUUCCCCAUAGGACACCACAGAGUGUGUCUAGAGCAGUCUCUUCGCCUCACCUUCGAGCCACGCAGAACCAUCUUCCACGUCAGAAUAGUCUCGACAAGAGGGUCAGCCUGCCAGGCACAAACACCAGCCAUCAGCUCGGUGCUGGUGACAGAUCCCCAGUGUCUUCCUUUCCUAGUGCUGCUGUAACAGAAGUACCACAAGUGAGUGGCUUUAAAGAACAGAAAUUUAUUUUCUCAUGAAUUCAGGGCACUGGCUCUAGGGGGAGGCUCGCUCUGUCAGCCUUGGGGAAGAUCCUUCUCUCUUUCAGCUUCUGGUCCUCGGUUCCUUGGCAACCUUGGGCAUUUAUCCCUCCCCCACCCUGCCGCCAUGUUUGUCCUUGCCGGCGUCAGUGUCUGAACUGCUCCUUAUAUCACUCAGCAGUGGUUAGGUUUAGAUGCAUCCUACGCUGAUAGGACGUCAUCAGCGUACCAAAGGAAACUCUUAUUUCCAAAGAGGAUCACAUCCGUACAGAUGUUGUUAGUUGCUGUCCAGUGGAUUCUGACUCAUGGUGACCCCAUGUGUGCAGAGUAGAACUACUGCAUCGGGUUUUCAAGGCUGUGACCUUUUGGAAGCGGAUGGUCAGGCUUGUUCUCCAAGGUGCCUCUGGGUGGGUUCGAACCGUCAAUCAUUUGGUAAAGCACAGCUGGUCUUGGCACAAGUUGAAGAGAAGGCUGCAAUACAUGACAACCACUGUCAACAACAUCAACAUAUUUGAAAACAAAAAGCGGCCGGGAAAUUAUAAAUGGAUCUUCUACAGAUCUCCACAGGACUUAUGGAGGGUGUUUAAAGCUGUGAAACCAGCGUUACCUGGAAUUUGUGAAUGCCACAAAAUAUGAUCAUAAGAUAAAGCCGUUUAAAAGAUUGUCCACAACUCAUACAGCUGUAUGACCGUUAUCUCCUCCUAAUUAACCACUGUGGAGGCAGCGGUGCAAUGAACUUUUUAAUAUGGCCCUUCUACCCAUAGUCUUUGUGACUCACACAAUGAUUGAGUGGAACUGUGCAAUUAACAUGUAUGGAACCUGUGAUGGUUGGGGUUGUGUGUCCAGUUGGCUGGGCCACAAUUCCCGGUAUUUUGUGGCUGUUCUCCAUUUUGUGAUCUGAUCUAAUUAUCCUCCAUUUUAUGUGUUGUAAAUCCUAACCUCUAUGUGUUAAUGGGGCAGGAUUAGUGUUGGGUGUAUCUUGAGUCACGCCCUUGCAGGAGGGCGUGACUCAGAUUCCACCCUUACUCAAGUCACACCCUUCCCUGGGGUGUGGCCUGCAUCCAGUGUAUAUGUGUGGGUGCACUGGUGGUGCUCUCUCUGUAUCUGGAUCCUGUGUCUGGCUCGUCACUGUCAGACCUCUGGUUCUGGGGAUUGAGCCAGUGGCCUGCUCUUUGACCUGCCAAUUCUGGGAUUCGCCAGCUUCUGCAGUCCGUCCUAUGGGCCAGCAGCCUAUCAUCUGCUUGAUUCGCCACCUUUGCCAGCCUUGUGAGCCAGCAGCCUCGUUGUCUAGCCUGCCGAUUUGGGUUCAUCGGCCCCUCCAGCCAUGUGAGUCAAGAGAAGCCUACGCCCGACCCACGGAUUUGGGACUUGCCGGCCUCCACGACCUCGUGAGCCAUUUCCGUGAUGUGGUUGGUGAGUUCUGUGAGACGCUGCAGUGAAUUACGGAACCCAGAGACAGAGGGAGAGUACUGAGGGGAGGAGGAGUAGUUGAUGUUAGAGAUGAUGGAGGGGUACAGCAGUUUGGAAAAGCUGGACAUUUGGUACACUUUUAACCCUACCUGAGAGGAACGAGCUUUGUGCCGAUCCUGAUCAAAGCAACGAUUCCUUCUGGGGCCCUGUACUGGUGCCAUCGCUUAGAACACUUUUCGGCUCUUUUCUGUUAAAAUUGCUUUCAGAGUAGGCACCUGAUCCACAUGGGGGAAAUCAGCUUGAUUUUAAUUCACGGCAGUUGGUUCUGAAUAGCUUGUAGGUGUUUCCAAAAAUUCAGUCCACCCCAGAAAGGACAAAUUCUCCAGCAGUGAAGACGUUAAAGGAGUGUGCUGCACACUUGUUAUGGGUUGAACUGUGUUCCCCCAAACAUGUGUUAGAAUCCUAACAUCUCUGCCCUGGAUAUAAUCCCAUCUGGGAAUAGGGUUUUCGUUGUUACGUUAAUGAGGCCAUAUCAAUGCGGGCUGUGUCUUAAACCAAUCACUUUUAAGAUAUAAAAGAGGCCGUUUGGCACAGAAGCAAGCAAGGACAAACUGGGAAAGAUUGAUGCCACGUGGAGAUGGCCAAAGAGCCGAGAAACAAGCUGAAAAAAGACAAGGAAGGACCUUCCCCCAGAGCUGACAGAGAGAGAAAGUCUUCUCUUAGAGCCAGCACCCUGGCUUUGGACUUCCAGCCUCCUAACUGUAAGAAAAUGAACUCUGGUGGUGCGGUGGUUAAGCUCUCGCCUGCUAACCUGAAAGGUUGGCAGGUCGAACCUACCAGCAGCUCCCGGGAGAAAAGACUUCAGCCUAGGAAAUCCUAGGGGGGGCAGUUCUAUUCUAUCCUGUAAGGUCGAUAUGAGUUGGAAUCGACUCUACGGCACACAACAGCAACAAAUUUAAGAAAAUCAGUUUCUCUUGGUUAAAGUCACCCACUUGGGGUAUUUCUGUUACAGCAGCACUAGGUAACUAAGACAAUCCUCCUUUGAAAUUUUUGCCGGCAGAUUUUCAGAUGUGCUUCAGGCAGUGGUUCAUAACACUUCCCACAAGUCCACUCUGAAAGGGUUCUCUUAUCAGGUCCCAUCAGUUCUGCGGGCUUCUUGUCAACACGCCCUCACGACUGUAGGGCCUCGCUGCAGGCCCCACUUUUCCCUCACACCAUAUCCUUUUAGGUGUUUUUUUUUUUUUGAUCCCAUGCAAAGCACUGAACCUCGGAUGUGAACGUUGGCUUAGCUGAUUUCUCCUCUGCUGAAAAAGUGAAAAGCAAAUGAUGUCAGACCUACUUCUGACUUGUCCUCUUUCCAAUUUUGUUUGUCCUCUCCUGCUCUCAGUUAUGAUUUCAAGGAUGAGUGGUGGUGAAGAUUUCUUACCCAAACUAAACGAAACCCACUGCCAUCAAUUUGAUUCUGACUCAUAGCAACCCUAUAGGACAGAGUAGAACUGCCCCAGAAGGUUCCAAGGCUGUAGUCUUUAUGGAAGCAGAGCACAACAUCUUUUUCCUGUGGAGCAGCCAGUGGGUUCAGACUACCGGCCUUUCAGUUCGCAGCCAAGCGCUUUAACCACUGCACCACCAGGGCUCCUGAAAGUUUCUUAGGGGUGGAAGAAAAAAGAAAACCAUUUCUCAAACUCUGUGACUUUCAAAAAGGACUGUUCCGUGCCCACUGUCUGGAAGGAAGUUUCCUUCUGUACCACUGGCUUCAAGUCUGCAGCUGGCUUUGCAAAUAGGUUCAAAAAAAUACUUCUUCCACAGUUUUCCAGCCUAAAAAAAAAAUAACCACUUACCUAUCCAGAUGAUGUGAGUACAGUAACAGCGAUUCACCUGGAUUCUAGGCUGCUAGAAGGUGCAUUUACUUCAUGGGUACCACGUGCCACCCUCUGUUUUCCCUCCAGACACGUGAUUAUGUUCUCUGCACAGCAAAGGGCCUGAAGUUUUUACUUCUGCACAAAACAGGUUACAGUGGCAAAUCCCACCCAAUUGCCAACUGUGUGGUAAGGAUCAGCGUGAACCCAAUUCCCAGAGUGUGGAUAGGCCCAGUCCCCACCUUCCCCCUCUUCCACCCUCAUUGCCAGGCGCUCACAUGGCACGCUCUCUCUCUAGACUAGUCGCCCCAGAGCUGAGUCAGGACUCACAGUUUAGAUGGAUACCAUCUCUCAGACCAGCUGCCCGUGCAGCAUUCUCAGACCCUCACCACCCAGAGCUAGGGCAGCACUCACUCACUGGAAGGCCGCCUUCCCUGCCAAAUAGGCAGAUGCCGGCCCCUGCUGGCUCUCACUGCCCUGUGGGUUCAUUAAUUCACCAGGAUGACUCACGGAAUUCAUGAAGAGUACACCCUACUACAUAAGGAGCCCUAGUGGCACGGUGCUUAAGCGCCGGCUGCUAACCAGAAGAUUGAUGGUUCAUACCACUCAGCCACUCCCCAAAGAAAAGACCUGAUGAUCUGCUCCCGUAAAGAUUACAGGCUUGGCAACUCUAUGGGGCAGUUCCAGUCUGUCCUACAGUGGAACUCACAAACUGUAGGACUAGAGUGCAACGAAUUUGGCUUUGCUUUUUAUACUAUACGUAUGGCCGCAACUUUAUUACAACCAAAAAGGAUACAAACAAAGAGACACAUAGGGUAAGGUCUGGGAGAGGUCACAGCCCGAACCUUGCAUGUUCCAAGGAGGGACAUACCACUCUGUCCUGUGCGUGGUCACCAACUAGGGAGCCCCAUCAGAACCUUAGGGCUCAGGGCUUUUACCGGCCUCACCACGUGGCCGUGAUAGACUAUAUCAUGCCUCAUGAGGCUUAGCAUCGGCCCUUACUCACCUCAGGUGUUGGUCUGGCUUGGAAGAACCAAGAACAAGGGUUAAAUUGCUUUUGGCAAGGCAAUUCCACACCUCACAGCUUCCCCCUGUCAGGUGUUCCCUAUCUUCCCCUGGUGAAGUCCCACUCAUCCUUUUCUGUGCACUUUUUUAAAAGCUUCUAUUAAAAACCUGGUGUUUUUUAGUCAGUCUGAUUUCUAUCCAAUCCUAAGUAGGCACUUUACUGUUAAUCUACAUACUUUCUUAAAAUGUAUAAAACAGGAGUGUGUUUUCUUGUUGACUUAAGCGUAACUGAGCUGAUAUCUUUAGAUAGGACAAUUUGGCCAGCAGAGGAAUCUGUCACUACAGAGAGUUCUGGAAUGAUUCAUUCAACCCAAUUUCCUGGCUCAGAAGUGUCUCCUUCCUCUUUUACUGUUCUGAAUGUCUGUCCCAAAGCUGUGCACUCCACCCAAGAGAACAGCCAUCUUGGAUAGAAUUUUCAGCUUGGCAGCCUGAGAUGCUUAGAUAUACUCACUGGUUAUGUGUUACAUAUGUGUGAAUUUAGUAGUAGUAACUUAAAGUCGCUGGGUAAUGCAAAGUUAACACACUCAGCUGCUAACCUAAAGGUUGUAAGUGUGAGUCCACCCAGAGUUACCUUGAAAGAAAGUCCUGGCGAUCUUCUUCCAAAAAGUCAGCCAUUGAAAACAGUAAGGAACACAGUUCUACAGUAACACACAUGGGGUCGCCAUAAGCUGAAGUCAAUGGGUUGGCAACUUUUUUUUUUUUAAACUUAAUCUCACUAAGAAAUAAUGAAAAAAGUUUAAAGCCCUGUAUUAAUGGAAGGUUAUGAUUAUUAAAAUAAAUUAUAUGUGUUUAUAUACAUAUACGUAUAGGUAAUAUGGAGCUCUGGUGGUACAGUGGUUAUGAGCCCAGCUGCUAACCAGAAAGUCAGCAGUUCGAAUCCACCAGCCACUCAAAGGAAAUCCUAUAGGGCGUUUCUACUCUGUCCUAUAGGGUCACUAUGAGUUGGAACUGACUCGAUGGCAACAGGUUUGAUUUUUGGGUUUUAUAGAUAAAACAAGGAGCCCUGGUAUUGUAACAUUUAAGCACUCAGCUGCUAUCUAAAAGGUUGGCAAUUCGAACCCACCCGGCAGCCCUGAGGGAGAAAGACCUGACAAUCUGCUCCCAUAAAGAUUAUCACCUAGAAAACCCUAUGGGGCAGUUCUUCUCUGUCACAUGGGGUUGUUAUGAGACUUGCCGGCACCGAAAAACAACAUAGAAAAUAACCCACUGCCAUCGAAUGGAUUCCAACUCAGAGGGACCCUAUACACAUUAUUAAAAUAUUGUACAUUAUACAUAUUAUAUAUGUGAAUAAAAGUCUAAAAUCAUGUCGAAGUUAGUAAAACAAAAGCAGUGCAUUUCCACCCUCUUUCCUCCUCUAGUCAGGGACCUUGAGGUUGUGGGAUUUCCAGGGCCUUUCUUUUUUUCAUCCCAGAAGACUCAGCAUGCAGCCUGGUCAGUCUGGCCCACGGGCCAGGAACCUCUCUUCUCUCCCACUAGAGGGCGUAGGGUUCCUUUGUACAGAAGCAUUCUUUGGGCAUCUUGGGAGGCUCUUGUUCUUAUCCGGUUAGGCUGGGUCUCAUGGGCUCUAUUUUUAGGCCCUCUGUAUGUUUUUUGUUUUUUAGUAUAUUUAGGCCUUGGGUAUUCAGGCCUAGAGACCCUGCUGAAUCAGGAAACACCAUAUUCUCUCAGGGACUUUGGCCAUGACCCCGUCAUAGAGUCAGGGUCUCUCCCAGUAUGCAGGCUGUGAGGGGUGGGGUAAAACAAGGCCACUUUUCACAGAGUGCUCAAGGCCCAUGGAAGAAAACAAAGAAUGCCCUUGUUCCCUUCACAUUUUGAGUUCUCAAACUGAAGUAAAAUGUUAAGAUAAAAGAAAAAUUACAGGGUCUGAAGAAAAAUGCAUUUGUCUACUUUGCUUUCCUCUAUGGUACUUAUUAAAAGUUAAAAAUUGUGUGGGAGGUGCAGGAUGUCAUCACCCCGGUUUCCUCACUUGAUUAUGUCACCCACUAGUAGCAUUUGGACCAUGUAAGCUUCAAGAGUCACCAGUUAAAAGAGCAGGCACCCAGGGCCCACCCUCAGAGGUUCCAAUUCUGUAGGCCCUGGGGUGUGGCCCAAGAAUCUCCCUUUUUGGCAAACAGCCAUUUGAUUCUCAGGCAAAUGAUCCUCAAACCACACUUUGAGAAACUUUUCAUUAGACAUGUCCUCUUAGUCCUCUGGGUGGUGUAAAAGGUUAAGUGCUCAACUACUAGCUGAAAGGUUGGUUUGAACCUGCCCAGGGGUGUCUCAGAAAAUAGACCUGGUGAUCUGCCCUGGAAACCCUACGGAGCAGUUCUACUCUGUACACAUGGGGUUGACAUGAGUCAGCAUCAACUUGACAGCAACUAACAACAGCAAAAUUCUAAUAUAAAUUUUAUAUUCCCAGUGGGAAAGACCCAUGCAGGAAUUCCCUAAAUUUAAUAUUUCAGGAAGAUGGCCAGUUCCUUUUCAUUUUGUAUAAUUGUGAGCUCACUGGGCAGGGCCUUAUCUUAGGUUCUGAAAUACAGUGUCUCCCAGCACCCCCACCUUGAAUCUAAUCCCUGCUUCCCAUUCAGGACCCUCAGGCUCCUGCUUUUGAUAUGUUAAGGCUCCUGGGGCCUGGCAGCAUUCUAAAUAGCCACCAGGGCAAUUACCAUGUACUGACCUCCCACCCCCCCACCCCACCCCCAACAAGGCUGGUUCAAUAUCAGAGGCAACCUCUUUGGAAGAUGCUCCUGAAUCUGUGUUCUGAGAGGCCACCUCACCCACCCGCAAUCAAGUGUCAACUCACAGACACGGAUGGCCACCACCAAACUGCUGUCUAGCAGCAGGGACAGGUCCAGGGUUACAGGGAGGGGGCUCUGUAGCUCCCAGGAAGUCUCACAAGUUGGCCUGGCCCUAAGGAAGGUGGAUCACCAUGGCCUAGGUUCCAUAUUUUGGCCUUCAUGUGCUGGGAAACUAUCUUGUCCACACCUUGGUGGCACUCGGACUCAAGGAGGUUGACUUGGGUAACAGAGUUCACAAGAGCAUGAAGCCAUCACUUACAGUGAGAAAUAAAACCAGAUACUAUGUCAUUCCAGCCAGGCUGGGGAGGAGGCUUUCCUUGGUGGCCAUGACUCAGAACAAGUAUAAGUAGUAUGGGUCUCUACUUGCAGGUAGAGCAGAUAUUCACCUGGAAUGCCCUCCAUGACUACACUAGUUGUUACUGGAUGCAGUCUGUUCUGAUUGGUCAGCGCCUGUGCCGUAUCAGUUAAAUAUCUUGACCAUCAUGCCUAAUGAUAGGUGUACAUAGACCUGCUAGGAGGGUGAGAACUUCUGGUACCUGACAGGGCUAUCUCCCCUGGACUGACUAUAAAUCCCGCAUUAGACUUCAAGUGGUUCUACUCAUUGUUUAAUCACCAGCACCUAGCACAUAGUAGAUGCUCAGUUACACAUGAUGGGUGCUCACAAUGUCAAGUUCAGUCAACCAACAGUGCCUGGAUGGGCUCUGCCCCAUUUGCGCCUGAGCUUUGUUUUUGUGGCCUCGGUGGUUGACCACUCUCCUGAAGGUUACGUUCCUUCUUUGCCUGUACCUCUCUCUUUUAGGUGACCUUACUCAAUAAUGAAUAUUUACUGAGCACCUACAGUGUGCCAGGCUUUCGAGGAUACAGCAGUGAAUAAAACAGCCCUGGUCUCUGCUGGAGGCUGAAGUCUCAGGAGUAAGUCAGGCGUUAAUAAUGUGAGAUGGGUAGUAUGACGUAGCAUUUUGGGAGCACAGGGAGCAGGGAUGUCCAAAGACUCAGGUAUGGGAAUGUGUAAGUCAAGUCAGGGCAGCAGGAGAUGAGCUGGAAAACGUGGGCCACAAUAUGGAUUUGGGGUGUGGUGGCCAGGAGGAAGCAUCUUGUGGACCUCCAAUUGACAAAGAGCCCAGUGCUGUACUCUGAAAUCCACCUGUGCUGAGGCCACGUUUCCCUCGGCGGCUCCCAGCCAAGGACUGAGUGCAACAGGGAUGCUAAGCACUAGCUUUGGUUGAAGGACUCUGGGAAGGCUUUGUUGAACCCCCCUUAGACUGCAGGGCAGUCUUGGGCCCUUCUCCCCUCCCUCCUUCGUUUGGGGUCUCAGCCUCCUCCAACUCCCUCCCCAUUUUCUCUCACAAAUAAAGUUCUUGAACUUUUGUUCCUAACUUGAUGUCUGCUGCUGGGAGGAUCUAGACUAACACAUGAGGCUUUAUCCUGAUGAUAAUUUAAAGUCAUUGAAGGGCUUUAAAUGAAGGAGUGGCAUAAUCAGAUUGUAUUUGAAAUAAUUCAGUGUGGCUGCAGGGUGGAGAAUUAGAUUGGAGAGAACCAAGAGUAGAGACAGGAAGACCAAGUAGGAGGCUGUUACAGGGGUCCAGGUGAGAGAUGGUGGCUUGGACUGCUGGUGGCCGGAGUGGAGAUUUAGCGUGUGAUUGGAUUUGGGAGAUAUUUAGGAUGAAGAAGAGAUGGCCCUUGAUGAUGGACUGAAUGUGGAGUAUAAGGGAAAGGGAGGAGUUGAGAAUGAUGACUCCAAGUUCCUGUCCCAGUUAUACUUGCAGUUAAGAACCCUGGCUGAUAUAUCACCUUACGGUGGUAUAAUAAAUAGCCUGCUGGUUUUAGAAGCUGGAAGGUGCAGCGCUUUGCUUUUCCAGCCAGGCAGAAUUGUUCAGUAAGAUUAGGCCAAAGUGCACUUCAGCUUGCAAUGACAGCUGCAGAGCAUCGGGCAACCGCAAAACAGCUGACCCUCUUAAGCCUUGAGCACCCACGGCAAGGACCAUCUCCAGAUAAUGAGUGGGGACACUCCUCUUAGGUUUUCAGGUGCAGCAAGGCCCAUCUAGGAGAGCCGAGUGAUUAUUAGCGUAGUUUCUCUGGGUGGCACAAAUGGUUAAGUACUGGGCUGCUAACAGUAAAAGUUGGUGGUUCAAACCCACCCAGAGGUGCCUUGGAAGGAAGGUCUGGUGACAUGGAUCUAAAGAGUCAGCCUUGAAAACCCUACGGAGCAGCUCUGCUCUGCACACGUGGGGACGCCAUGAGUCAGAGUCAAGUCAGCAGCAGCUGGUGGUGUUUUUUUCCUCAGAUGGAGGCGAGGGAGGUGCUAGAAGCCUCUUUCAGAGUCAUUUUUCUCCUAGGUAGCCAGUGCCCAUUUCAGGCUGGUGGGAAAUGCCCGAAGUGCUCCUGGCCCCUUCCCUCCCUCCCCUGCCCUGAGAGCUCUCCUGGGGGAGGCAGCCAGACGUGAGCCAACAAGUCCUGACACACAUCCCGCUUCCAGGAGCUUCGCUCAGCCGGGAACGCAGUCAGAGGGUGAGAGAUGCGCCUUCCUCCCUGGGGCAGCUUCGGAUGAGGUCAUACUUUCCCUCUGGACUCUAUCAGGAUUCUUCCUUGGUAUUUCUGAGUCACUCGAUGGCUUAUGUCACUGGGUGAUGCUAACCAAAAGGUUGGAAGUUCCAGUCCACCCUAGAUGCGCCUCCAAAGAAAGGCCUCGUGACCUACUUCCAAAAAAAAUCAGCCACUGAAGACCCUAUGGAGCACCGUUCUGUUCUGGUUCAUGGGGUCACCACGAGUCAGAGUCCACUCGACAGCAAGCGGUUUUGUUUGACAGUUGGUAGACACUUUGGAAGCCAGAGGUAUCAUAUAAGUGUCUUGUGCCUUUACUCCUAAGAAUGUUCUUGUGGCCCUUAACGUUACCUGGAAAGUUCAAUGCUACAUAGGGGCUCUGGAGAAUUAAGCAGCAUAAAAGAAGGGGAGAGGGGAGUCCAUUGUUAGUGGAUGUUCAGGAAGGCAGAGGAGUUUAGCACUAAAAAAUCAAAUCCAAGUCUCGAAAUGACCUCACACCUCCAGGGGAUGCUGCUGGUGGGUUUUCUUGGAUCUUACAAGGGGCAAGUAAGGGCCAGUAGCCUUAUAUAUGGCUUCCUCUGAAGAAUGCUAAGCCUAGAAAGACUUUUUCCUUCCAAAAUACUGUUGAGGAGAGGUUUUUGUGAUUAUCAUUGCCUGAAAUCUACCCUUCAACAUUUUUAUUCCUUUGGCUUAAGGCUAAAUAUCCUAAUCCAAAAGACUUUAGAGGGGUAAAAGUGAAGACCUGGUCAAUAUUUGAUCAUUUAAUGAUAAUCAAUAUGUAGGCAUUCAGUCAGAGUUCCUGGGUGGUGCAAAUAAAUGGGUAGUGCACUUGGCUGUUAACCAAAAGGUUGGAGGUUCAAGUCCACCCAGAGGCACUUUGGAAGAAGGGCCUGGGAAUCUACUUUAAAAAAAUAUUAGCCAUUGAAAAUCCAGUGGAGCACCAUUCUACUCUGACACACAUGAGGACGCCAUGAGACAGAAUUGACUUAGUGGCAAUGGGUUUACUGGUUUUAAGUAUUCAAUCAGAUAUUUUCCAGCAUCUCUUCAGCAGAGCACUUUCCCAAGAAGUGACUUUGAACAGUGAAGUUUUGAUGAGGGAGGGAUGCAGGUGGGCAGAGAGGACAUUAACUGAUGAGUGAAUUAAAACUUGGGGAAGAAGACUGAUCAUGCACAGGGAGCCCUUCUAGAGCAAAGCUGUCGUUGGUAUCCAUUCUCCCUUUCAUAAUGGCUUGUGUGCUUUAUUCAUUACAGCAAGAAGUUUAGCCCUGGAGAGGGUUUGCCCUGGGCCCGAUCCUACUAGUUAAAAGUUCAAGUAGAAUUCUGAUAGAAAUUAAGAUUGCUAUCUAGUGCAAUACAAAAAUCAGUGGUCCGUGUUGAUUGCUGUGCCAAUAUCACUGCAGUGAAUUGAAAUCAUUGCUGACGUGGAUACAGUUAGUUCUAUUUGAACAAUAAUUCCUAGUCAACGCUUGUUUCCCCAAGUGAAUGUUCCUUUAAAGAAAAAUAUUUAAGGAUCUCCAGCUCUGGAUCCAACCGCUCAGUACACAUAGUGAACACAGGAGACCAAGGGCCCCCUGCUGAUGUCCACCUGUUUGUAUCUGGGUGAGGAGCCCUGUCCCUUCCCAUUCUUGCAGCAAGUGUAUUGCUUUUCUGAUGUGGGCAUUCUUGGCCAGUCUGGAUCUCUCAAGGUAAUCUAAAAUUUGCUCCCUCUCCUGCCUUCUGAAGCCAGUUUAUUCCCAAAGAGCUGGAUCUCAGAGCUUGGUGGCCCUGGGCUGUCUUCAUGUGUCCAGGCUGGAAGCAUUUGAUAGGCAGGGUUCCCUUAACACACCCAUCUAGCCAUCUCACUCCCAGGUCCUCAAGACAAUCCUUUUAACACUGUUCAGACCCCAGAUAGUGUGCAAACUUUAUUCUGAUUACCUGCUUUGCAGGAUCUUGACUCGUGAAGUUAGGAAGCCUCCUGAAGCACUCUGUGGUUGUUGUUAGGUGGUGGUGAGUUGAUUCUGACUCAUAACAAUCUCAUGUGAAAGUAGAACCAUCCCAUAGGCUUUUCUAGGCUGGAAUCUUUAUGGGAGCAGAUUGCCAGUGGGUGGGUUCGAACCUCCAACCUUUCAGUUAGCAGCCAAGUGCUUAAUCACUGAAGCACUCCAUAAAGGCCACCUGUCAGUUUUCAACAAUGCUAGUGCCAGUUCAAGUCCAACAUGAUCUAACACGGAGUGACCACACAUUUUGUUGUUUGUUUCUGCAUCGAGGUGACCACGGCCCUUCGUGCACCCCAGGAGGCAGGAUGUACUCACUCCUCAAUAAUCUAUAAAAUACCAAGAAUCACCUACUCAAAUUCUGAAGAUUUCAGGGAACAUUUUUAAAUACAAUGACAGCAAGAGGACAUGGUACUGUUAACGUGUAUCCUGCUUCGAAACCAACAGAACAUCCCCUCUAGCUCUUUGCUUCCUUUCCCUCCCCAAAGGAAUUUGCUAUUGUUUGUAAAUAUAGUAUAUCCCUAACGCUGGCUUUAUUAACCACAGUUCAAACUUGACCUUUCUGAACAUUCUUAGUAUGUAGGUUUUAAUUUUUUUAAUCAACUCCGUUUUUGUUGUUGUUAGGUGCCGUCCAGUCAGUUCCAACUCAUAACAAAGCUGUGUACAACAGAACCAAACUCUGUCCAUUGAGGUAUAAUUCACAUGCAAGAAACCAUGCUUAUUUUAGGGUAGAGUUCAAGAGUUCUGAAAAAUGUAAAACCCACGUCACUACCAUUGUAAUCAAGAUAUGGAAUGUUUUCCCUCAGCCCCCAAAUUUCCCUCAUACCCCUUUGAUGUCAAUCCCCUUCCCCAGCCCCAGCUCCAGGCAACCACUGUUCUGCUUUUGGUGCCUACAGAUUAGUUUUGGUGGGCUUUAAUUUUAAUGAGAAUAUACCAUAGGCAGUGAAACGGAGUUCUACAUGCUUCUGCUCAAAACCCUACAGGGAGUCUACAUGAGACCAUUUUAACAUUGAAGAAGAAGAAUUUGUAUGUUAUCUGAGACACCCAAAAUCUUUCCCUUUGUUAGGGUUCGUUUCUUUCAUCGGUAUGAUAAAUUUUUUUCAAAGAUGGCUGCCAACACUUCCUCCCUUCCCGAAGACCACGUGCUGUUCCUUCCAUCAAGAACCAGGGACUGGCUCUGUGACUUGAUUUGAUCAAAGGAAUGCAGAGGAAGUGGGUCUGUCAGUUCCAGGCUUAGUCCUUAAGAGACCUGAGAGCAACUGCUUUUGGCCUCUUGGGAUUCAGCCACCAAGUAAAUAAACUCAGGCCAGAUCAUUGAUGAUGGAGGCCACAUGGAGAGGGAGAGGUGCAGCCAGCAGCCACCCCAGCUUAGUCACCAGACAUGUGAGUGAAACCACCUUGGACAUUCCAUUUCUAGCCAAGUUCCCAGCCAAAGGCAGCCACGCAAGUGAUCUCAGUCUACUCAACACAGAGCAGAAGAACUGCCCAGAGGAGCCCAGCCAACACACAGAAACAUGAGGCAUAAUAAAUCUUUGUUGCCUCAAGCCUUUAUGUUUUGGGGUAGUUUGUUACGCAGCAAUAGAUAAAUAAAGCAAUCAGGAAAUGGAUGGAGGGUAGGUAGUUCCCUCGUAGAAACACUUGAAACAACAGCAGUAAAGGAAAGGACACGUAGCCUUUGCAAUGCUAUGAAGUACUGUCUGCGCCUUUGUGAACUCCCAGGUGCAGUUUGCUAAACCUGCGUCUACCAGUGGAACCAGAACCCAGGGUGCAGUCACAGCCCAAGAGAGGCUGCCUCAAGCUCUCGGGAACUCCAUGCGGGGUUGGUUCAAAGAGGAAAGGGUGUCCCAGAUUCUUUUUUUUCCUUCUCUCUGUGGCUUUCAAAAGGAGAGUCUCACAUGAAUGGGAAGAGUCAUAGCCGAAGAAUCUGAGUCUCUAAGACUUACAACAUUUUAGGGAAGCAAGUGUCCUUGGGAAGAAUACCCAGAUGAGAAGUGACGUAAAUUCUCAUGAUCAAGGUCUGGCAUGGUAUGUAGCAUGUGAUGUUGUUGUUAAUUACCACCUAGUCUGCUCCGAUUCAUGGAGACCUUCUAUAUAACAGAAGAUGCACCAUUUUCAUGAUUGUUGGGGUGUUCAAGUCCAUUGCUGUGGCCACUGUGUGUACUGAGCACCUUCCAACCCAGGGGGCUCAUCUGCCAGCACUAUGUCAGACAACAUUCUGUUGUGAUCCAUAAGACUUUCAUUGACUAAUUUUCAAAAGUAGAUCACCAGGCCUUUCUAAGACAGGGAGCAAAGGUCCUGAGGUCGGAGGGUGCCUGUUUGAGAAAUAGCAAAGAGACUGGUGUGGUUAGAGGAGAAGCAAGUAAAAGAGAAAAAGGCUAUACUAUCAGGGAGGUAAUAGGGGGUUGAGUAUGGAACCUAGAGACUUAGUAAGAGAACAGAGGGGCCCCCAAAUCUGCACACAGAGCAACAAAAAAUGGGCCAGGGUGCAGAAACAAAGCCAUUCCCCAGAACAAAGGGGUAGGGUAUCUAAAAAUAGUCCACAAACUUCCUUAAAGUUGGCUUUCAGAAACAGCUGGAGAAAACCAGGCCCAGGGACAUGCGCAGAACAUCCACCUGUGACCACUGUGUGGUCUUCCACCAGGGGCAGUGAGGGACUACAGCCCCAGCCAGGGAAUCCAACCCAGGGAGCAAGAGACUGCACAGGCGCGACACCCCAUAAUAAGUCCUGCUACGAAUCCCAGAGGCCUCCAGGACAGGAGCCAUCUUGGAAAGCUGCUGCACUCUCACCUUAGUUAACAUAGCCCUGCUGUGUCUUUGAAUAAACAUGAAUCAUUUCCCACCCAAGAACUUUUAAAAACUUGGGCCUGUCUUUUGUUCUAUGAGAUGAGGAUAAGUGUUGCUCUAGGCCCUCUUCGUCCCUGCUUGCAAGCCUCUUCAAUAAAGCUUUGCUCAUGUGGAAAACUACAUGCCUUACCUGCUCAUUCUUGACCAGUGAGAGGCAAGAACCUUAUUCUGGUAACAUUUCCUCCUAGUCUGUCUUAGUCUGGAAGCUCUGCUGAAACCUGUCUGCCAUGGGUGACCCUGCUGGUAUUUGAAAUACCAGUGGCAUAGCUUCCAGCAUCACAGCAACACACAUGCCACCACAGUAGGACAACCUGACAGACAGGUGGCAGUACCAUACAAUAGCUACUCACAGGUGUUUAUUAAAUCCAUCAAUUUCUGCCUGAGUUGUCUGGAUAUUCCACAGACCCAUUACAUUAGAGAAUCCAAGUCUGGGGCUAAGGUAUCCGUCAGACACAGACAAUCCACUUGGACAAGUCCCGAAGCAGCAUGCACAUUGUCCAGGCCAGAGAGUGCUGUAGGACAUUAAACUUGAAGCUGAAUUAUUUGGCCUCUUGUAGACUUGGCUUUCACCUGGCAUUUGGCCAUAGGGUGGAGUAAGCUUGGGCCAUCAGCAUAAGCCAACCACUCGCCCUUUCGUUCUGGGAAGCCCCAGUCAUCCUCAAACAAAUCAGGUCACAGAAAACAAGGCUUCUUGCAGUAACUCGUUUGAAUUGGGGAAGACUGCUAAUGGGAUGUAUGUAAAUCCUUGCUGUAAAUAACCAGACGGUAACAAAAAGCUAAUGAGCGUUUCCUGAUAAGUAUAGGCUUUCUGGUGCUCCCAGAGGCCAUUUUGAGUUGGGUCUGAUGAACAACGGAAGCAGAACAAGCUUGUCUUUGCUUCCCCUGAAGUCUCCGCUAGUUGGAUCCCUAGGCGGUGCAAAUGGCUAAGCACUCAACUACUAGCCGGAAAGUUAAAGGUUUGAUGCACCCAGAGGCACCUCCAAACAGUGGUGUCACUAGGGUUAGUGUCGCCCAGUGCAGUAAUUCCUGGCGUCACCCCCCCAUGCUAAUUACCACAAUAUUGUAGUUAAAACACCAGAAGAUUUGACAAAAUCAACAACCAUAAACAAUAUCAUGUGCCUGUAGCAUGUGCUCAUGAAACCACGCGAUUUGAAGUGUCAUUGUCAUUGGGUAAUAAUGACCAGAACACAUGAAAAAAAAACGUUGCUGUGGAGUCAAUUCCAACUCAUAGUGACCCUAUAAGGACAGAUUAGAACUUUCCCACAGGACUUCCAAGGAGCACCUGGUGGAUUCAAACUGCUGACCUUUUGGUUAGCAGCUAUAGAUCUUAACCGCUAUGCCACCAGGGCUUCAGUUCAAAAAGUAAAUUAGCACAGCAUUUUAGCCUUGUAGGUGUAUUGAUACAUGUAAGUUGGGCUUACGAAAAAUUUUUUUGUUGUUAUAACUACAGGUAUAUUUUUAUAAAAAAUAAGAAAUUUCUGCUAAAAAACACUGCACAAAAAUUUUAUAGACAGUCAUUUUGGUGUCACCCCAGCUGACAGUGUCACCCAGUGUGGUCCCCACCCCUGCACUCCCCUAGCAACACCACUGACUCAGAAGAAAGGCCUGGCAAUUUACCCUAUGGGGCACAGCUCUACUCUAACACACAUAGGGUCACCUUGGUUGGAAUCAACUCGACAGCAGCUUGUGAGUCUUGAAAGGAAAGAGGACAAAGAGACAAGAGGAGUUUCCUGUAUCUGGACCAGAAGGCUGCUUCUCCACCUCUAGUUUAGUUUUUAAAUGUCUGUGAUGGUCCUGGCACAUCCUGUGUGUCUUCACGUUUCCUGUAUGUGGAUUGAGGUGGGUUUCCCUAGUUCGCCUCCCAGAAAACAGAGGAAUGGGAAAGAGGUGGGGAUGUGGCAACCCCAGGGGUCUUCCCACAAACAGAGCCAUGGGUGAGUAGCAGAUACCAGGAGGGCUAGGCCAUGGACCAGUGCCAGUGUGCAAGCAGCACAAAGCUGGUGUCAAACAGUGUUUUUGCCUUCCGUAUGGUUUGUGUCUCUUAAAAAAAAAAAAGUGGUGAAAAUAUACAUAACAAAACAUAUGCCAUUUCAACAAUUUCUACAUGUACGAUUCAGUAAACUUGAUUGGUUUGUGUCUUUUAGAAUAAAUCUGAAGGAUUUGGCCCUCUGCCUCUGCAAGCUCUCUUCGUUGUGUGCAAACCUCCUGAAAUGCUCUAAGCGCCGCCCCAGUGAAAGGGGGGGGUUACUUUUGUUCAUAGCUCUGUCAGCAACUGGAAGGCGGCCACACCUUCUGGCAUCUGACUGAGUAGGAAAAAGGCCCCAGGGUGUCCUGUGCUGGGGACACCAGGUGACUGAAGAAUCCAUGCCAGCCAGGAGAUCCCACAGGUGCAGGGGCUGACGGGAAAUGCGCAAUCGUGGACGGUUUUCCUGCUGAGCCCGGGUGUCCGGCUGAGUCACUCUUCCUUCUGCCCCGUCUUGCCAGCCCUUCUUCCCUCCCCAUGGCUCUCCUGCCUUCUCUGGGGCAGGAAACUCAUCGUAACUAGAACCCAGAACACGCCUAACUUUAAAAGACUUUCCCUUAUAUACUUAAUGUUUAAGGAAGAGGGUCAAAUGGCAGACAAAAACAAUCAUUCACACUCAGCAAAACCAAGCUACUAUCAAGAAUUUUUAAUACAAAACAAAGAAUGGGGUAUAAUGCAGGAUCAGGGCAAAUACAGAGCCAUCUCUACCUUUAUAGGCUGAGAAAUGAUACUGAUAACGACGACUCCAAAACCCAGAUCCUCAGAUAUAUUAAAAAAUAGUAUUUUAUUAUUAAAAUUCAAUGUGUAGGCUGUCCCAAAUCCUUUUUGGCAUGAAACAAGGUAAUAAUAAUAUACUUUAAUGUUUAUUUUGCGAGUACUUCCACGUGUAUGAUUUCUUUAAUCUUACCAUGGCCAAGUGAGCCUGUAGAGUCUCAAACAGGUCAGGGGCAGCUUACCUUCUUGGAUUUGUUUGAAUCUGUGAGCACAGUGUUGGGGAUCCUACCACCAUUGUGGUGAGGAUGGGGUGGCUUGGUGUUCCUGAGUGGUACAAAUGGUUAACGCGCUUGGCUGUUAACUGAAAGGUUGGAGGUUUGAGUCCACCCAGAGGUGCCUCAAAAGAAAGCCCUGCCGACCUACUUCCAAAAAAGCAGCCUCUGAAAACCCUGUGGAGCACAGUCCUACCCUGACACAUAUGGUGUCACCAUGAGUCAGAAUCAACUGGACAGCAGCUGGUACUGGUGCUGGUAUGUCUACCCUGAAGUGCAGAUGUCUUUAAGGCUUUCCUGGGGUUUGCUGACUCUGUUGGCAGAUCUCUGUGACGACGUGUUACAGCGAGCCUUUUAAUCUCCGUGGCAUGUAGUAAGGCAGCCUCAUUGGCUGGGGAUUUUCCUUGGGCCAUUACAAAGGUAACAUUUAUUUUGGGAUCCUUUUAGUCACAAACAGAAACCUGUUUAAAUUGGCUCAAGUAAAAAGGGGACAUUUAAAUCAGGAUACACUGGUUGUCUCAAGGAACCCAAGGGCACCAAGGGCAAAUAGUCUUUGGAGGGAUUGGAACCAGAACAAACACACAUUCCAAAUGGACAUUUCUGAAUCCACAAGUAGACAAUGUGUGAAUUUUCCACAACUUGAGCAAGGUUGGCAUGUCUGACCUGCUCAGUGUAACAGCGUAGAACAGUGUGGUAGCAUUGUCCCAGCCACAGAGAAGGCCAGGGAGUCAGUCUUAAUAGCCUGUGAUAAGUGAAACAACACUUACUAUGUACAAAAAUUGAAUGUGUGAUGAAGACAGCAUCAACAACGGGACUGAUUAUUCAACAAACAGUGCCGUACCAUUUAGAAGUUCACCUUAUUUAAUACACUGUCUUAGUUAUCCAGUGCCGCUAUAACAGAAAUACCACAGAUGAAUGGCUUUAACAAACAAAUUUAUUCUUUCACAGUUUAGGAGGCUAGAAGUCCAAAUUCAGGGUGCCAGCUGCAGGGGAAGGCUCUCUCUCUCUGCCAGUUCUGGGUGAAGGUCCUCACCAUCAUUCUUCCUCUGGUCUAGGAGCUUCUCAGCUCAGGUACCCCGGGUCCAAAGGACACAUUCACUCCCAGCACUGCUUUCUUGGUGAGAUGAGGUUCCACUCCUCUCUGCUCCCUUCUCUCUUUUAUAUCUCAAAAGAGAUUGACUCAAGAUACAACCUAAUCCUGUAGAUUGAACCCUGCCUCAUUAACACAACUGCCUCUAAUCCUGCCUCAUUAACAUCAUAGAGGUUAGAGUUUACAACACAUAGGAUGAAUACAGUAACCCUGGUGGCAGAGUAUUUAAUAGCUACUGCUGCUAAACAAAAGGUUGGCAGUUCGAAUCCACCAGAAUUGAUUUGAUGUAAAUACAUCGGAUCACCAAAUGGAGGACAACUUCACAAUACUGGGAAUCAUGGGCUAGCCAAGUUGACACAUAGUUUGAAGGGACACAAUUCAGUCCAUAACAUACACCAAUAUCACUUCCAAACUAAUUAAAGGGUAAACGUUUUUAAAAGUAUUUUUAAAGAGUAUGUGAUAAAAACAUGAAAAUAAAAAUAAAAUGAAAUACAAUUUAAUAUUAAUUAAGAUCCUAAUAAAGAGAAGGAAAUGACUCCUAAGCUCAGAAGCCAUAAGGCAAAAAAUCAUAAAGUAGAGCUGAAGAGGUCUGACAUUUAUUGCUUGUUAUUAUCAGUCUUUCUUAAAGCACGUUGCCCAUAUUAUCCAAUGUGUCUCCCAACUUUAUGAAGAUGGUAUUAUUGCCUCAUUUUAAAAGCUGAGUACACUGAGGCAUAAAGAUGUUAAGUAACUUCUCCAAAAUCAUCUAGUCAGCGGGAGAGCCAAGAGCGACUCCAAGAACCGUGUAUCUCCAAAACCAUGCUCUAAUCCUCUAUGCCAGAUAACCUCCUUCCUAAAAAUUUAAAUAGGUUUAAAGAGCAAAAUUCACUCACUCAUUCUCCCAACAUGUAUUUAUUGAACACAUACUAAGGGCUGGGGAUAGUGGUGGUUCAGUGGUAGAAUUCUCACCUUCCACGUGGGAGCCCGGGCUUGACUUCUGGCCAAGGCACCCCAUGCGCAGCCACCACCCAUCUGUCAGCGGAGGCUUGUGUGUUGCUAUGAUAUGCUAAACAGGUUUCAGCAGAGCUUCCAGACUGAGACUGACUAGGAAGAAGGUCUUGGAGACCUGCUUCUGAAAACUAGCCAGUGAAAACCUUAUGGGUCACAAUGGCCCAUUUUGCAACUGGUCGUGGAGAUGGCACAAGACUGGGUAUCGUUUUGUUCCAUUGUGAGUGGGUCACCUUAAGUCAAGGGCUGACUGCACUGUAGCUAACAGCAACACUGAGGGAUAGACACUACACUAGGCACUAGGCAUACAGUAACAAAUAAGGCAGACAAGGCCUCUGACUUCAUGAAGCUUACGUUGUAUAUCUAGACUUGAGAAUCUAGAGAGGCUACAGACCAUAAAGAAGUCUGUGAUGAAUAAACACGAGAAUGUUCAAUUGUGGUAA